Molecule: ribosomal RNA, 497 nt
Filed under: uncultured bacterium
Lineage: Bacteria
Description: partial 16S ribosomal RNA
Rfam family: Bacterial small subunit ribosomal RNA
Source: RNAcentral
GAUGAACGCUGGCGGCGUGCCUAAUACAUGCAAGUCGAGCGAACGGACGAGAAGCUUGCUUCUCUGAUGUUAGCGGCGGACGGGUGAGUAACACGUGGAUAACCUACCUAUAAGACUGGGAUAACUUCGGGAAACCGGAGCUAAUACCGGAUAAUAUUUUGAACCGCAUGGUUCAAAAGUGAAAGACGGUCUUGCUGUCACUUAUAGAUGGAUCCGCGCUGCAUUAGCUAGUUGGUAAGGUAACGGCUUACCAAGGCAACGAUGCAUAGCCGACCUGAGAGGAUGAUCGGCCACACUGGAACUGAGACACGGUCCAGACUCCUACGGGAGGCAGCAGUGGGGAAUCUUGCGCAAUGGGCGAAAGCCUGACGGAGCAACGCCGCGUGAGUGAUGAAGGUCUUCGGAUCGUAAAGCUCUGUUAUUAGGGAAGAACAUAUGUGUAAGUAACUGUGCACGUCUUGACGGUACCUAAUCAGAAAGCCACGGCUAACUACGUG